Molecule: small RNA, 28 nt
Filed under: Bombyx mori (domestic silkworm)
Lineage: Eukaryota; Metazoa; Arthropoda; Insecta; Lepidoptera; Bombycidae
Description: piRNA piR-bmo-1313489
Source: RNAcentral
UAACGAAUAGAAGUGGUCGGUGUACAGC